AUGGCCUGGAUGGUGCUUCUUCUUGGGUUCCUUGUCUAUGGCUCAGAAGCAGAUUCUCAGACUGUGGUAACCCAGGAACCGUCACUCUCAGUGUCUCCAGGAGGGACAGUCACACUCACAUGUGGCCUCAGCUCUGGGUCAAUCUCUACAAGUAACUACCCCAACUGGUACCAGCAGACCCAAGGCCGGGCUCCUUGCAGGGUUAUCUACAACACAAACAACCGCCCCUCUGGGGUCCCUGAUCGCUUCUCUGGAUCCAUCUCUGGGAACAAAGCCGCCCUCACCAUCACAGCCGCCCAGCCUGAGGACGAGGCUGACUACUACUGUUCAUUGUAUAUGGGUAGUAACAUUUACACAGUGAUUUAA
Nyctereutes procyonoides (raccoon dog) is the source of this 366-nucleotide non-coding RNA. NCBI's taxonomy places the organism in Eukaryota, Metazoa, Chordata, Mammalia, Carnivora, Canidae. The record is from the annotation of a RefSeq genome assembly.